AACUUUCAGCAACGGAUCUCUUGGCUCUCGCAUCGAUGAAGAACGCAGCGAAAUGCGAUAAGUAAUGUGAAUUGCAGAAUUCAGUGAAUCAUCGAAUCUUUGAACGCACCUUGCGCCCUUUGGAUCUUCCAGAGGGCAUGCCUGUUUGAGUAUCA
RNAcentral lists this ribosomal RNA (155 nucleotides) under uncultured Thelephoraceae. RNAcentral describes it as "5.8S ribosomal RNA". It matches the Rfam family "5.8S ribosomal RNA". Rfam says of the family: 5.8S ribosomal RNA (5.8S rRNA) is a component of the large subunit of the eukaryotic ribosome. It is transcribed by RNA polymerase I as part of the 45S precursor that also contains 18S and 28S rRNA. Functionally, it is thought that 5.8S rRNA may be involved in ribosome translocation. The record is from RNAcentral. Lineage: Eukaryota; Fungi; Basidiomycota; Agaricomycetes; Thelephorales; Thelephoraceae.